Molecule: non-coding RNA, 431 nt
Organism: Alligator sinensis (Chinese alligator)
Lineage: Eukaryota; Metazoa; Chordata; Crocodylia; Alligatoridae
Source: the annotation of a RefSeq genome assembly
GCCCUGACACAGCUGGUCUGUGCUGCAAGAUCCUUCUACACGAACCAACCAUGGCCCUGCUUCUGCCCCUCCUGGUAAUGUUGGGCGCCCUGUCUGGUGUCCUCUCCCAGGUGCAGCUGCAGGAGUCAGGUCCUGCAGUGGUGAAGCCUGGGGAGACCCUCACACUCACCUGUGCCAUCACCGGAGGCUCUGUGUCUAGCACAAGCCACACCUGGGACUGGAUCCGGCAGCCUCCAAGUCAAGGGCUGGAGUGGGCUGGGCGCAUCUACUACAGAUCCAGCUGGAGCACAGACUAUGCCACCUCCCUGAAAGGCAGAAUCACCAUCACCCAGGACACCUCCAAGAACCAGUUCUCCCUGCAGCUGCGCUCCCUGACAGCUGCAGACACCGCCACGUACUACUGUGCUAGGAGACACAGUGACACAAAGUAG